This 253-nucleotide ribosomal RNA is filed under the name uncultured bacterium. RNAcentral's name for it is "partial 16S ribosomal RNA". It matches the Rfam family "Bacterial small subunit ribosomal RNA", at positions 524 to 776 of the family's 1533-position model. The record is from RNAcentral.
UACGUAGGGGGCAAGCGUUGUCCGGAAUCAUUGGGCGUAAAGCGCGUGUAGGCGGUCCGGUAAGUCCGCUGUGAAAGUCGGGGGCUCAACCCUCGGAUGCCGGUGGAUACUGUCGGGCUUGAGUACGGAAGAGGCGAGUGGAAUUCCUGGUGUAGCGGUGAAAUGCGCAGAUAUCAGGAGGAACACCAAUUGCGAAGGCGGCAUCCUGGACCAACACUGACGCUGAGGAGCGAAAGCCAGGGGAGCAAACGGG